This 510-nucleotide ribosomal RNA is filed under the name uncultured bacterium. Its description in RNAcentral is "partial 16S ribosomal RNA". It matches the Rfam family "Bacterial small subunit ribosomal RNA", at positions 28 to 523 of the family's 1533-position model. The record is from RNAcentral.
GACGAACGCUGGCGGCGUGCCUAAUACAUGCAAGUCGAGCGAAUGACGAGAAGCUUGCUUCUCUGAUUUAGCGGCGGACGGGUGAGUAACACGUGGGCAACCUGCCCUACAGAUCGGGAUAACUCAGGGAAGCCUGGGCUAAUACCGGAUAAUCCUUCGAAUCACAUGUUUUGAAGUUGAAAGGCGCUUCGGCGUCACUGUAGGAUGGGCCCGCGGUGCAUUAGCUAGUUGGUGGGGUAACGGCCUACCAAGGCAACGAUGCAUAACCGACCUGAGAGGGUGAUCGGCGACAUUGGGACUGCGACACGGCCCAAAGUCCUACGGGAGGCAGCAGUAGGGAAUCUUCCACAAUGGACGAAAGUCGGAUGGAGCAACGCCGCGUGAGUGAUGAAGGUUUUCGGGUCGUAAAACUCUGUUGUAAGGGAAGAACAAGUACGUUAGGAAAUGAACGUACCUUGACGGUACCUUAUUAGAGAGCCACGGCUAACUACGUGCCAGCCGCCGCCGUAA